GACGAACGCUGGCGGCGUGCUUAACACAUGCAAGUCGAACGGAAAGGCCCUGCUUUUGUGGGGUGCUCGAGUGGCGAACGGGUGAGUAACACGUGAGUAACCUGCCCUUGACUUUGGGAUAACUUCAGGAAACUGGGGCUAAUACCGGAUAGGAGCUCCUGCUGCAUGGUGGGGGUUGGAACGUUUCGGCGGUUGGGGAUGGACUCGCGGCUUAUCAGCUUGUUGGUGGGGUAGUGGCUUACCAAGGCUUUGACGGGUAGCCGGCCUGAGAGGGUGACCGGCCACAAUGGGACUGAGAGACGGCCCAGACGCCUACGGGAGGCAGAGGUGGGGAAUAUUGCACAAUGGGCGGAAGCCUGAUGCAGCAACGCCGCGUGCGGGAUGACGGCCUUCGGGUUGUAAACCGCUUUCGCCUGUGACGAAGCGUGAGUGACGGUAAUGGGUAAAGAAGCACCGGCUAACUACGUG
RNAcentral lists this ribosomal RNA (468 nucleotides) under uncultured bacterium. Its description in RNAcentral is "partial 16S ribosomal RNA". It matches the Rfam family "Bacterial small subunit ribosomal RNA", at positions 28 to 507 of the family's 1533-position model. The record is from RNAcentral.